Molecule: small nucleolar RNA, 108 nt
Organism: Arachis duranensis
Lineage: Eukaryota; Viridiplantae; Streptophyta; Magnoliopsida; Fabales; Fabaceae
Source: RefSeq, a predicted model, not a curated record
AAACAUGUCAGGUGGGCACCUCCUUGUCAGAUCCUUGUAUCUCUCCCAUGCUUCAUAGAGGGUUUCACGAUCUUAUUGCCUGAAUGUUUGUACAUCAGUUCUUAGCCU